This 447-nucleotide ribosomal RNA is filed under the name uncultured bacterium. Its description in RNAcentral is "bacterial SSU rRNA". It matches the Rfam family "Bacterial small subunit ribosomal RNA", at positions 355 to 825 of the family's 1533-position model. The record is from RNAcentral.
UCGGGAAUUUUGGGCAAUGGGCGAAAGCCUGACCCAGCAACGCCGCGUGAAGGAUGAAGUAUUUCGGUAUGUAAACUUCGUAAGAAUAGGAAGAAUAAAUGACGGUACUAUUUAUAAGGUCCGGCUAACUACGUGCCAGCAGCCGCGGUAAUACGUAGGGACCAAGCGUUGUUCGGAUUUACUGGGCGUAAAGGGCGCGUAGGCGGCAAUUCAAGUCAUCUGUGAAAUCUCCGGGCUUAACUCGGAACGGUCAGAUGAUACUGCUUUGCUAGAGUGCAGAAGGGGCAAUCGGAAUUCUUGGUGUAGCGGUGAAAUGCGUAGAUAUCAAGAGGAACACCUGAGGUGAAGACGGGUUGCUGGGCUGACACUGACGCUGAGGCGCGAAAGCCAGGGGAGCAAACGGGAUUAGAUACCCUAGUAGUCCCUGAGCGGGCUGGCAAGGCGCAU